RNAcentral lists this ribosomal RNA (248 nucleotides) under uncultured bacterium. RNAcentral's name for it is "partial 16S ribosomal RNA". It matches the Rfam family "Bacterial small subunit ribosomal RNA", at positions 57 to 305 of the family's 1533-position model. The record is from RNAcentral.
GCAAGUCGAACGGCGGCACGGGUGCUUGCACCUGGUGGCGAGUGGCGAACGGGUGAGUAAUACAUCGGAACGUACCUUAUCAUGGGGGCUAACGCAGCGAAAACGGUGCUAAUACCGCAUACGCCCCGAGGGGGAAAGCGGGGGAUCGAAAGACCUCGCGCGAUUAGAGCGGCCGGUGCUUGAUUAGCUUGUUGGUGGGGUAAAAGCCCACCAAGGCGACGAUCAGUAGCUGGUCUGAGAGGACGAUC